RNAcentral lists this long non-coding RNA (1358 nucleotides) under Heterocephalus glaber (naked mole-rat). RNAcentral's name for it is "lncRNA (ENSHGLG00100047212.1)". Lineage: Eukaryota; Metazoa; Chordata; Mammalia; Rodentia; Bathyergidae. The record is from RNAcentral.
CUGGAGUUUUAGCAAAAUUCCCAAGAGAGGAAGAAAUGAAGCCCGCCAAGGAAGCAUCGAUCUAUCUGAUUUGGGUCCAGUGGUUUCCUGAACAGCUGAGCAGAUGGAAGACCUGAUUCUUCAGUUUUGAGAAAGUCAGAUUCUGCUUCUCCUGACUCUUGCUCUGUUGCACUUCUAAUUUCUGAGUCAGCUUAGACUGAGCUGAGUGUGAAUCAGGAGACCAACUUCUGCAUCCUAAGGGAGCUUGACUUGGCUUCCAAGGAGUUCAUCUUCGACGCUUAUGACUCUGAGUCCCGAAAAUGAGCCAACGAGGCAAUCUUUCUUCCUCCUGGAUUUGACUGGCACGAGACUGUUUCUAAGACACAGAGGAGCAAGGAUUUGGGGAAGAUGGCCACCUGACGGCAGCUUUUUUCUCCUUGGAUCCCAGCUCCCAAUUCCUCACUUUCAGAGCUGGGAGAGAAGGAGAUGAGGGCUGAGUGCAGGCUUUCAUCCUCCAGACCAAUGCUGACCUGGAGCUGCUCCGGCAUAUAGGAAAGAAAGGCUGGGAUCCUGGGAAAAAAAAUGCUCAUUCUGAGAUCCGUGGCCACAUCUGCUGGAGAGCGCCCAAUGUUUCUGGUUCCUUUGAGGCCAGGUGGGAGCUGGGUCUGGAGCUGUGGCCUCGCCCACCCGGAAGUGGCAGCGUAGGAGGACUUGAUUUGUGUCAGAGAAUGGAGACCUCUCUUGGAGCUUUCAUCAGUGACAGAGAAUCUGUUGGUUUCUAAGCUGCUACUUCCUUGGGGGCACAAAAUGUUUUCCCACCAUCUGUGUGACUGGCACCAAAUGGGGGACCCCAAUGAGCAGGUCUGAGCAUGAGCAAGCAGACAAGGGAAAUGGAAGCACAGCGAAGAGAUUCUGGUGCCUAGAGAAGAAGGAGACACUAAGAGGACUCAUCCCAUCACGUGGGAGCCUGCCAGACACAGCAGUGGCAGACUGAGCCAGAACUACAGAAGCCUGCUGGGGGGAUUCUCGAGCACUUCACCACGGAGCCAGCUCAGGAUCUUCCAGUUAAACAGUUUUGCAAAUGAAUCCAGGGAGGGGAUGAGUCCUGAGAAGACAAAUUAGGGGGUAGCUGAGGUCCCAGAGCAAAGAAAUAUAAUGGAAAAAAGCUACAAGGGGAAAGAAAAGUUUAUGAGAGGGACCUCAAAGACUUACUAUGUGAAAAACACAAGGUGCAGAAAUUGAAAAAGAAAGCCAGGUGUGGUGACACAUGCAUGUAAUUCCAGCAUUCUGGGAGGCUGAGGCAGGAGGAUUGCAAGUUUGAGCCCAGCCUGGGUGAUUUAGUGACUAAGUGAGACUCUGUUUAAAAAUUAAAAAUAAAA